Molecule: ribosomal RNA, 493 nt
Filed under: uncultured bacterium
Lineage: Bacteria
Description: partial 16S ribosomal RNA
Rfam family: Bacterial small subunit ribosomal RNA
Source: RNAcentral
AUUGAACGCUGGCGGCAUGCUUUACACAUGCAAGUCGAACGGUAACAGGUUAAGCUGACGAGUGGCGAACGGGUGAGUAAUGCAUCGGAACGUGCCCGAUCGUGGGGGAUAACGCAGCGAAAGCUGCGCUAAUACCGCAUACGAUCUGAGGAUGAAAGCGGGGGACCGUAAGGCCUCGCGCGAUCGGAGCGGCCGAUGUCAGAUUAGGUAGUUGGUGGGGUAAAGGCUCACCAAGCCGACGAUCUGUAGCUGGUCUGAGAGGACGACCAGCCACACUGGGACUGAGACACGGCCCAGACUCCUACGGGAGGCGGCAGUGGGGAAUUUUGGACAAUGGGCGCAAGCCUGAUCCAGCAAUGCCGCGUGCAGGAAGAAGGCCUUCGGGCUGUAAACUGCUUUUGUACGGAGCGAAAAGGCUCUCUCUAAUACAGGGGGCUCAUGACGGUACCGUAAGAAUAAGCACCGGCUAACUACGUGCCAGCCGCCGCCGUAA